CUCGUUGACACCAACAACGAACA
Molecule: small nuclear RNA, 23 nt
Filed under: Arabidopsis thaliana (thale cress)
Lineage: Eukaryota; Viridiplantae; Streptophyta; Magnoliopsida; Brassicales; Brassicaceae
Description: snRNA_02252
Source: RNAcentral